This 240-nucleotide unclassified non-coding RNA is filed under the name fungal sp. Its description in RNAcentral is "partial internal transcribed spacer region". The stretch from base 1 to 46 matches the Rfam family "Eukaryotic small subunit ribosomal RNA", at positions 1786 to 1831 of the family's 1831-position model. Lineage: Eukaryota; Fungi. The record is from RNAcentral.
AAGUCGUAACAAGGUAACCGUAGGUGAACCUGCGGUUGGAUCAUUACUGAUAUCUUGCUGGUAGAGUUGAUACCGAAAGGAGUCCUUUGCCAGCAGAAACCCCUUGUGCACCAUAUUGUUUUUUGGGCUGUUGGCAGUGUCUUUGGCCCGCUGGCAGCCCAACAUUUGAACAAACGCUAAAAUCUGUCUGAGAUAAUCUAGUAAUAGAAACAACUUUUGACAACGGAUCUCUUGGCUCUC